UACGUAGGGGGCAAGCGUUGUCCGGAUUUAUUGGGCGUAAAGAGCGUGUAGGCGGUUAGGUAGGUCCGUUGUGAAAACUCGAGGAUCAACCUCGAGACGCCGAUGGAAACCAUCUGACUAGAGUCCGGAAGAGGAGAGUGGAAUUCCUGGUGUAGCGGUGAAAUGCGCAGAUAUCAGGAAGAACACCCGUGGCUAAGGCGGCUCUCUAGUACGUGACUGACGCUGAGACGCGAAAGCGUGGGGAGCGAACAGG
This 253-nucleotide ribosomal RNA is filed under the name uncultured bacterium. RNAcentral describes it as "partial 16S ribosomal RNA". It matches the Rfam family "Bacterial small subunit ribosomal RNA", at positions 524 to 776 of the family's 1533-position model. The record is from RNAcentral.